UUAUUGCUGGGUGGAUUUGAGGACUCUAUUGAAAGAGCCAACACUUGAUGCUGAGGUGUCACUAUGGAAAUUGAUCAUAAACAACGCGAAGCUCAACAUCUCGCCUGGAUCUUCAUUUAAUUGCCCCGAAGCAGGGUGGUUCCGAAUCUGUUUUGCGAAUAUCGAUGAUCGAACGGUGGAGAUCGCACUCAAAAGAAUUCAAAUAUUUGUGGAUGCUAAUAACGAUAUUAAUGAAAAUGGAAUCGUGAAGAACGCAUCAGUGAAAGGGAAAUGAUUUACAAAUAUAGACUUCAUGAACGAAAAGUAGUACGUAUAAUAAAAUUAAUAUUAUGAGCUUGAAUAUGUUGUCUCCUAAUUUUCUGAUUGCUAAGGAGAAUAAAGAAGAAAUUGAAGUUUUUUUUUUUUUUUUUUUUUUUUGUUAUAAAAAUUAUAUGAAAAAUGUUCGUACCGUGGCCUUAUUAUGAGUAAUAAUAAUGUUUUUUAUUUGAUCUUUACAAAUGCAUAUUUUUCCCUUGAAAAAAUGACACAAAUAAUUUCUUGUGACAAUUAAUUUUUCUCUAUCUGCUAUUGUUGCAACUUUGUAGUACUUGCUACUUUAUUUUUUAUCACACUCCAAUUAAAGACUAACAAAAUAUAAUGACCAAGUAACAAAUUUAUCACUACUUAUUAGUUACUCUCUCUGUCCACCACUGUUAGUUGUCAUGAUGCGUUUUUCAAAAGUCAAUUUGGCUAAUUUUCAAAGUUAAAUUAGAGUACAUUAGUUCGAUAUUUUAAACAAAAAAUUUAGAUAAUCAAAAACUAGACGAAAAGUACUAUAAAUUGUAUUUUUUUUUUUGCAUAUCAAUAUGAUAAAAAAAUACAUCAUAAAAUAUUAGUCAAAAUUCUUAUAGUUUGAUUCUAAAAAAGGAAAUUAUGACAAUUAAAAGUUGACGGAGGGAGUAUUAAGACUCUUUCUUGGGGAAUAAAUAAUUCAAAAGAUAAGAGUAAAGUUUAGUGGUUUUUGUGUUAGAAAAAACAGUUAAAUGUAUUGAUGAAAAAGAAUAAUCAUAGUUAUGUAAUUAUUUAAAGAAAUUUAAAUUUCAAGAAUCACAACUUCAAAAUACGACCAAACAUAAAACUAACCAUUUCCGUCAUUUUGAGUUUCACUUUCUCAAGCUCCGUCCAGUCUCCGACGACUUCUCCGACGAGUCCCUUGCCACCAUCUGUGUUUAUCUCUCUAUUUCCUUCAUCUUUCUUUUUAUAUUUACAUAUAAAGGUACCUUCAAAAAAGUAGUAGUUCUACUUAACUCCCUUUUUGACAAAACCAAAAAGUAGGGUGAGUAACUUUGCCAAUUGGGAGGAGAAGGUGACAAAAUAUUUAUGUAUUAUUCUAAAUAAUGAAGUCAAGUGGAUGUUCAUGUGGGG
Molecule: long non-coding RNA, 1404 nt
Filed under: Solanum tuberosum (potato)
Lineage: Eukaryota; Viridiplantae; Streptophyta; Magnoliopsida; Solanales; Solanaceae
Description: long non-coding RNA (STUB_LNC005913)
Source: RNAcentral